GACGGAGGGUGCAAACGUUGUUCGGAUUCACUGGGCAUAAAGCGCACGUAGGCGGCUCGUUUAGUCAGUUGUGAAAUCCCCCGGCUCAACCGGGGAAUGGCAUCUGAUACUGGCGGGCUCGAGGUCGGUAGGGGUGAGCGGAACUCCAGGUGGAGCGGUGAAAUGCGUAGAUAUCUGGAGGAACACCGGUGGCGAAAGCGGCUCACUAGGCCGACUCUGACGCUAAGGUGCGAAAGCUAGGGUAGCAAAC
This 250-nucleotide ribosomal RNA is filed under the name uncultured bacterium. RNAcentral's name for it is "partial 16S ribosomal RNA". It matches the Rfam family "Bacterial small subunit ribosomal RNA", at positions 524 to 773 of the family's 1533-position model. The record is from RNAcentral.